GGAGGGGUGGCUGAGUGGUUUAAAGCGUUCGCUUGCUAAGCGAAAGAAUGUCAAAAUUCCGUAGGUUCAAAUCCUAUUCCCUCCU
RNAcentral lists this transfer RNA (85 nucleotides) under Cyanophora paradoxa. RNAcentral's name for it is "tRNA-Ser". It matches the Rfam family "tRNA". Rfam says of the family: Transfer RNA (tRNA) molecules are approximately 80 nucleotides in length. Their secondary structure includes four short double-helical elements and three loops (D, anti-codon, and T loops). The record is from RNAcentral. Lineage: Eukaryota; Glaucocystophyceae; Cyanophorales; Cyanophoraceae.